UUGCUGAAAGAGUUGUAUGAACUAAUUUCAAUGCUAAUGAAGUUCCUGGGCAGCCCCUUCGGCCAGAUCCAAAUGGCAAAAAUUCAUAGUGUUGUCCCCUUACAUCUAAUUGAACUCUACCGCUUAUUCUCUCUUCACUCAAAAAUCUUUCUGGUUGAAAUUCAAGUGGAUUUUCCCGGAUGAAGUCUUUAGAGUUUCUUUGAUGAUGGCUUGAAGGUAGGGAAGGUUUUCUAUGUCCGAUUCUUCGACGAGACGGUUCUUUCCAACGACGGAAUCAAUUUCUUGUACCGCUUUCUGCAUUAUGCUUGGAUGGUUAAUCAGCUCCGCUACUGCCCACUCUAUCGUAAUAGCUGAUGUAUCACUUCCAGCAGCAAACAUGUCCUGCAAAAGUAAACUCAUUUAACCUUGCGAUACUCGAUUAGUUGCGCCAAACUCAGUAGUUUUUGGUCAAACCCUGUAUUUAUAUUAAGAAAUCUAUUGAACAUGUACAAAUUAUUAAUUUAAAACUCAGUAGCUCCGCGUCUAAGGACAUGAAUACCGGCCGAAAGAUUAAACCGUAAAAAAUAAAUAAAUUAAGAGAUGAAGAUGAAAAAGUCACCAUGAUAAAGGCUUUGAUGUUCUCUCUGCUUAAUCGUA
Molecule: long non-coding RNA, 636 nt
Organism: Nicotiana tabacum (common tobacco)
Lineage: Eukaryota; Viridiplantae; Streptophyta; Magnoliopsida; Solanales; Solanaceae
Source: RefSeq, a predicted model, not a curated record